UUCCAUACACCCAACAUGAAGAUCAUUCUUUUCGUUUGCGUUCUCUUGGCUUCCAUUCUCUUCUCGCCCUCUUCAAUUCUCGCUCGAGAAUUGGCUCAAAGUGAUGCAGGUGGUUCUACAAGCGGAACUGAGAAUUACAUUCCAGAGUGUGGUGCUCCAGAUGGCACCCCAGCCUACAAUGAAUGCGUAAAGAAACAGAAGUGUGUUCCCUCUGCAUACAACCGUUGCGGCCCACGGAAAGACCCAUGAAUAAGUCAUAAUGUUGUGUAAUGAAAGUAUGAUGAUCAAUUAAACAGUAUGUAUGCUACAUAUAUAUAUAUAUAAUUUUAUAAGUUGUGUACGUGUGAAUAAAAAGAGCUUACUACUCUUU
This is a non-coding RNA of Corylus avellana, 370 nucleotides long. The record is from RefSeq and is a predicted model, not a curated record. NCBI's taxonomy places the organism in Eukaryota, Viridiplantae, Streptophyta, Magnoliopsida, Fagales, Betulaceae.